AGCAGUCGCCGCGGUAAUACGAAGGGUGCAAGCGUUACUCGGAAUUACUGGGCGUAAAGCGUGUGUAGGUGGUUGUUUAAGUCUGUCGUGAAAGCCCUGGCUCAACCUGGGAAUUGCGAUGGAUACUGGGCGACUAGAGUGCGGUAGAGGAUAGUGGAAUUUCCGGUGUAGCAGUGAAAUGCGUAGAGAUCGGAAGGAACAUCUGUGGCGAAGGCGACUAUCUGGGCCAACACUGACACUGAGACACGAAAGCGUGGGGAGCAAACAGGAUUAGAUACCCCGGUAGUCCCUGUCUCUUAUACA
RNAcentral lists this ribosomal RNA (303 nucleotides) under uncultured bacterium. Its description in RNAcentral is "partial 16S ribosomal RNA". It matches the Rfam family "Bacterial small subunit ribosomal RNA", at positions 507 to 808 of the family's 1533-position model. The record is from RNAcentral.